AUGAUGUCCUUUCACUGCUGCCCACAAAUAUGGUUAAAUUUUAUGUGCAGUGUGGGACCAUGGAAGCCAGUAUUUCAAAUCGCCUGCUUUAUUUUAUUUAUUUUGAGAAUCAUGCAACAAAGCCAUUUGACCAAAACCCCAGACUCUUCCAGAAUGGGUCGUAUCCAGCUGUGUUCUGCUGAUGGAAGACUCCAAUUUGUAGCAGGGGCUUCGCAUGAAGAUAAGGGGAGGCUCUGUAUUUUCUCUGAAGCCCCUAAUGCCACUGACCUUCCAUACUGCUCCAAGAGUCAUCCACCCUUUGAAGAUGGGAGGAGGUUGGAGAAGGAAUCUCCAUCCACUAUUCAGGUUCUUGUGUCUGCUGCAUCAAACAGCCUUCCAUCAGCUGAGGGGAGAUAAUUGUAUUUACCCCAAAAAAACCCGUGCCCUAGUGGAUUAAAGCCUUGUGACUUGAAGGUUGGGCUGCUGACCUGAAGGCUGCCAGGUUCAAAUCCCACCCGGGGAGAGCGCGGAUGAGCUCCCUCUAUCAGCUCCAGCUCCAUGCAUAAGAGAAGCCUCCCACAAGGAUGGCAAAACAUCAAAACAUCCGGGCGUCCCCUGGGCAAUGUCCUUGCAGACGGCCAAUUCUCUCACCCCAGAAGCAACUCAGGUUGCUCCUGACACGAAACCAAAAAACCCCAAAAGUAAAUGUCCUUCCAUUAGCAAAGGGGGACAAAACCAUAUACUACCCAACUUGUGAAGUUCCAGUCCCUUUCUGCCUUAAGGGAAAAGAGCAUUUCAAAUAUCUUUUUCUCCUCUCAAAAAUCAAAGCCACUUCUUUAGAAAUGAAUUCAAAACUAGCUGUUCCGAGACAUGAAAUAAAACUUUCCACUUAGCACCCAACUUCCCAUGUCUUCCCUUUGUGCUCUUCCCACCCGCCCUCCUGAAGAUUAAUCCCACUGCAAUUAUUAAACAUCAGAUUUUAGAAACAGGAAACAAAAAUUAAUAUAACAACAUGAUAGCUAAUUGUACCUUCCCUGAAUAAUGGCUGAAGUUAAAUAUAUCUAACAGUGCGAUGCCAAGAUGCAAAUUGAGGCAAAAGUCUCUAUUUACUUGGAACCAUUAAGUAUCUGAAUGAAACAGAAUUGGGAGUGGAUUAGUGGCUGCACUGGAACAUGAAGAUUCAGUGUCCUUGGCUCCAUAAAGAUGAGCAGUUACUGUUGCUCCAUGCUGCUGCCUCUUUCUAUUUCCAUGUCAAUCUAACCUGAUAGCAAAGAUUUGUCCCAUCUAGUCAUCCUCAUGCUGCAUUUGUUAUGUUAGCUCAUUCCUUCUCCAACCAAAAACUGAAACAAAAGAGCAAAACAACCCACAAAACAACCACUCCUUCAAGUUGUCUUUUUGCUAUCAAGCCAGGUCAAGACACCACUAUAAUUCUGCAGGAUCAGAAAGGACUCCAAUGUUGCCUUUUCUGGACCACGCACCAC
This 1460-nucleotide long non-coding RNA is filed under the name Anolis carolinensis (green anole). RNAcentral describes it as "lncRNA (ENSACAG00000035201.1)". The record is from RNAcentral. Lineage: Eukaryota; Metazoa; Chordata; Lepidosauria; Squamata; Anolidae.